This 440-nucleotide ribosomal RNA is filed under the name uncultured bacterium. RNAcentral describes it as "partial 16S ribosomal RNA". It matches the Rfam family "Bacterial small subunit ribosomal RNA", at positions 338 to 795 of the family's 1533-position model. The record is from RNAcentral.
CCUACGGGAGGCAGCAGUGGGGAAUAUUGUACAAUGGGGGAAACCCUGAUGCAGCGACGCCGCGUGAGUGAAGAAGUAAUUCGUUAUGUAAAGCUCUAUCAGCAGGGAAGAAAAUGACGGUACCUGAGUAAGAAGCCCCGGCUAACUACGUGCCAGCAGCCGCGGUAAUACGUAGGGGGCAAGCGUUAUCCGGAUUUACUGGGUGGAAAGGGAGCGUAGACGGCAGUGCAAGUCUGGAGUGAAAGGCGGGGGCUCAACCCCCGGACUGCUCUGGAAACUGUACGGCUGGAGUGCAGGAGAGGUAAGUGGAAUUCCUAGUGUAGCGGUGAAAUGCGUAGAUAUUAGGAGGAACACCAGUGGCGAAGGCGGCUUACUGGACUGUAACUGACGUUGAGGCUCGAAAGCGUGGGGAGCAAACAGGAUUAGAUACCCCAGUAGUC